This is a long non-coding RNA of Zingiber officinale, 3224 nucleotides long. RefSeq lists it as uncharacterized. The record is from RefSeq and is a predicted model, not a curated record. Lineage: Eukaryota; Viridiplantae; Streptophyta; Magnoliopsida; Zingiberales; Zingiberaceae. The transcript has 3 exons.
CAAAUAUGCUGUUAAAAGUUUUAUGUAACUUUUCGCGGCACGUCCUCUACAGCACGCUGUUAAUAAUCUUAAAAGUUUUGGGAUUUAAUCGUGUCCGACGCCGUAUCUCAUCACGAUCCCGCACCUUUAUUUUUCUUGUUAACCUAAGCUUUCCCUUCCCGCAACGUCGCCUUUCCUCUCCGCAGCACAACAUGAUUUCUUCCAUCGCCGACAAAGAGGCCGCCGACAAAGAGGCAGGCGACAAGGUUGAGGGUCGGCUGCUCGAGAGGUGGCCAGUGAGGCAACGAGCGGUUGUUGCCUGCCUCCUUGUCGACGGCCUCCUCCCAUCGUAGCACGAUCUUCACCAGUCACCUACGCGAUGCAGCCGUUGCCUAGACUCGCUUGUAGGCGGUUCGCAAACGGCUACUUGAACGGUGAUGUAACCCUUUCUUCCUCUCGUUGCGGCAAUCCACUCAGGGAUUAGCUAACUAGAAUGCUAACUAGAAUGCUACCUGCAACCUAGCUUCCUCCGCCACUCAGGGAUUAGCACCGUCAAUUACAUGUUGAAUACAAUCACUUAAUCAGUUACUCAGCGAAACUGAGUUACGGGCGCGAAUCUUUGAUGGCUUCAGAAGUUUGUUCAUGGGUUCACCUAACAUGAACACAUUAGUUGGUUUAGGUGCUUUAUCAUCCUUUGCAGUCAGUUCAAUUGCUGCCUUAAUUCCAAAACUGGUAUUUACAAUCUUAUACGGGAAGAUGCUUUAAUUUAUUACGUUUGUUGCUAUACAUGCAUCUGCUUGUUGACCAUGCUCCUUAUCAACAUGUUUUAAUGGUUAUAAAAAAUGUUGUUUGAUUAUGUCAUAGCAACAAAAGAGGCGGGGAGGAAUGGGGAUGCACAAAUUAAACAAAGGACGGCGAUGUGAGACACAACAAAUUGUAAGGGUAGGGGUGCAGGGAGUGGUAGACUUGUUGAUGCCCAGAAAAUGAGGCUUCAAUAUCAAACCAGUGACUACACUUUGUACGCAUAUAACUCCAAAUUAACCUAACUAUAUUAGUGACUAUCAAUAUCUGAUUAUCAUUUUAGUGACAAAUUAAUAACAAAAUGAUAAUAUCAAUUUAGAUUGGUCUGAAGAAAUUGAAAAAUUAUAUUUGUUUUUUUAUUAGUAAAACUGUAGGACUUUGCUAGUGUGUUGAUGGUAACAGUAUGCCAAACGAAGUGUUCCAUACUAUGUCAAAACAUGGAUAUAUCAUAGUAUUUUGCUUAGGAGCAAGCAAGGCAGCUGCUUGUUUUAUGUUGCUGUGGUGAAAAAAAUUCUUCUUAAUGCUAGUUUGAUUAGAAUGCAUGAUGACAGAAGUACAUAUUAUGAUGCAUAACAAGGCUAUAAUACUACUUGGCAUUUCCAGUGAGCAUUGAUAUUGUACUUUUUUGAAUAUUUGAAUAUUGUACUUUUAAAUGUCGGAGAAUAUUUAAAAGGUAGCCAUUCCUUUCCUUUCGCCCGUAAGUGAUUGUAUUCAACAUGUAAAUAUGUUGGAGAAUAUUUUGUAUUCUUACUUAUAUUUUGAAUUUUGAUACUUGCUAAUAUAUCUAGAUUCACUAACAUAUACACUUUCACUUAUAUUUGCAAAUUAUAUUUGAAUGAUGUUUGAGGAAUGACUUUUUAGUCGAUAAUGCAUUGGUCUUAGAAUGCAUUGAUAUGGUAUUUAUCCAAGACAUAUUAUCUAUUGUUUGCUCUGUUCUGUCCAAAUAAACUUUCAAUUUCUUCAAAAUACAGUCAGAUUAAUUUUUAGAAUUCAUUGGUUAUUCUUUUGAGAUUUUUUCUCUCCUCAUUUUGAUGGCUAAUAUAUGACUCUAAGCUUACCAAUUCUUCCAUAAAGCCUUUCAUUCCAUUCAAAGGGAUGGCAAACAUCAUCCACAAGUGAUGUGGAAUGUGAAUGAGAAGAAUUUUAUGCUUCACUUGGCUUCAUCCUGAUUUGUGCUACUCAUUGUUAUAGAUUUAGUGAAAACACUGUUUACAAGUAAAUUGCUUGGAUUGUUAUUGUAAGUACGUUACAUCAGUUGCAUUGGAAUACCCUUACUAUCUGUAUGCAAGCAUGAUUCAAGGUGUACACAUUGCUAAAAUCACUUGAGCAUCCAAAGGGAUGAAAAUGACUUGUAUUUUAAUGCAUGAAACAGGUGUCUUGGUGGGUUAUAACGUAAUACAUGAAAUAGAUUUCUUGGUGCGUCGAUUGCUUGAAUUUGUGAGACGGGAUUCAGAUGACAUUCCAAUCCAGGUAGUGAAGUUUCACUUACUCUUUUCAUUUAUCCCACAUAAUUGGUUUAGCACAUUGAAAUUUUCAAACAUGCUUGGUUGUAGCACUGCAUUGUGCUUCACACACCUGAUAUAAUGUGGCUCUAUAAUAUGUUUCUGUUGUGCUCAACCACAAGCAGUUGAAGUUGUUGUUGCUACAAAAUUGACUUAAAGAAUUAUUAGAAAUUAAAAAAAAUAGUAAGCAUGCAAUAUUUAUUUCUGUUCUGUAUACCUUGAAAUGAGUACCUAUGCAGGAGAAUUAGGAUCAUUUUGAAGCUACUAUCUCAUCUUCUAAAGGAAAGGGAUUUGCUACAAAAGAACAUUUUGAAGCAUUUACUAGAGCUAGCUUGUUGCUCUUCAACAACAUAUUCUCUCUUCUUAUUGAGGAACUGAUUAAUUUGGUAAGCAAUUCAUUUAAUAAUCCACACAUUCUCUAAGUUCCAAACCAUAAUAAAUCAGUUUAGAAUUAACAAUUUUCGCCUUCUUUUUCUUGGGUCUCCGAGUUGAUUUUGGAAACAUGCUUUGCACUCAGCAUGCUCUCUAGCCGAGGAAUCUUUGCCUACUCCGACAACUAGUCAAUCACCAUGCUCUCGGCCUUUUACGAUUUAAUGUUGUAAUUCCCUUGCAUAAGUUGAUUUCAAUUGUGUCCUCUACAAACAAAAUAAAUUCUGUCGAAAAGUAUAUUCAGGUCGAUAAUCAUGAAUUCUGGUUCAUGGGGUUUCUGAACUAUGACACGGUUGUGCGCCGUCAGCACGAAGCUUUGCGCCAUAUGCAAAAGGAAGCAUCGCCGCGACGGUAGAUCUAGAUGUUCCAACUAUGUAACUUUUGUACUGAGCAAUAGACUUAGGGUCUUUCUUUGGUUCAUGUUAAUAUUUAUAUUGUUGUUUAGAGAAAUUGAUGAGCUUUGUAAAAUGAUUAUUAGAUGAAUAAAAAUUAUGUAUUCAUAUUUUGAUUUUA